Molecule: ribosomal RNA, 833 nt
Filed under: uncultured Allomuricauda sp.
Lineage: Bacteria; Pseudomonadati; Bacteroidota; Flavobacteriia; Flavobacteriales; Flavobacteriaceae
Description: bacterial SSU rRNA
Rfam family: Bacterial small subunit ribosomal RNA
Source: RNAcentral
AUGAACGCUAGCGGCAGGCCUAACACAUGCAAGUCGAGGGGUAACAUAGUUUGCUUGCAAACUGAUGACGACCGGCGCACGGGUGCGGAACGCGUAUGGAACCUGCCCCUGUCAGGGGAAUAGCCCAGGGAAACUUGGAUUAAUGCCCCAUGGUAUCGUUUUAUCGCAUGAUAUUACGAUUAAAGAUUUAUCGGACAGGGAUGGCCAUGCGUACCAUUAGUUAGUUGGUGAGGUAACGGCUUACCAAGGCAGCGAUGGUUAGGGGCCCUGAGAGGGGGAUCCCCCACACUGGUACUGAGACACGGACCAGACUCCUACGGGAGGCAGCAGUGAGGAAUAUUGGACAAUGGGCGGGAGCCUGAUCCAGCCAUGCCGCGUGCAGGAUGACGGCCCUAUGGGUUGUAAACUGCUUUUAUACGGGAAGAAACGCACCUACGUGUAGGUGUCUGACGGUACCGUAAGAAUAAGGACCGGCUAACUCCGUGCCAGCAGCCGCGGUAAUACGGAGGGUCCGAGCGUUAUCCGGAAUCAUUGGGUUUAAAGGGUCCGUAGGCGGGCCUGUAAGUCAGGGGUGAAAGUUUGUGGCUCAACCAUAAAAUUGCCUUUGAUACUGCAGGUCUUGAGUCAUGGUGGGGUUGCCGGAACAUGUGGUGUAGCGGUGAAAUGCAUAGAUAUCACAUAGAACACCGAUCGCGAAGGCAGGUGACCAACCAUGUACUGACGCUGAUGGACGAAAGCGUGGGUAGCGAACGGGAUUAGAUACCCCGGUAGUCCACGCCGUAAACGAUGGAUACUAGCUGUGGGGACUUCGGUCUCCGUGGCCAAGCGAAAGU